Molecule: ribosomal RNA, 576 nt
Filed under: uncultured bacterium
Lineage: Bacteria
Description: bacterial SSU rRNA
Rfam family: Bacterial small subunit ribosomal RNA
Source: RNAcentral
GGCAGCAGUGAGGAAUAUUGGACAAUGGAGGAAACUCUGAUCCAGCCAUGCCGCGNUGCAGGAUGAAUGCCCUAUGGGUUGUAAACUGCUUUUAUACAGGAAGAAACAUUUCCACGUGUGGAAACUUGACGGUACUGUAAGAAUAAGGAUCGGCUAACUCCGUGCCAGCAGCCGCGGUAAUACGGAGGAUCCAAGCGUUAUCCGGAAUUAUUGGGUUUAAAGGGUCCGUAGGUGGUUAUUUAAGUCAGAGGUGAAAUCCUGCCGCUUAACGGUAGAACUGCCUUUGAUACUGAUUAACUUGAGUUAUUGUGAAGUAGUUAGAAUAUGUAGUGUAGCGGUGAAAUGCAUAGAUAUUACAUAGAAUACCGAUUGCGAAGGCAGAUUACUAACAAUAUACUGACACUGAGGGACGAAAGCGUGGGUAGCGAACAGGAUUAGAUACCCUGGUAGUCCACGCCGUAAACGAUGGUCACUAGCUGUUUGAUUAACAUUGGUUAAUUGAGUGGCUAAGCGAAAGUGAUAAGUGACCCACCUGGGGAGUACGCUCGCAAGAGUGAAACUCAAAGGAAUUGACGG